UAGGGAAUCUUCGGCAAUGGACGAAAGUCUGACCGAGCAACGCCGCGGGAGUGAAGAAGGUUUUCGGAUCGUAAAACUCUGUUGUUAGAGAAGAACAAGGACGUUAGUAACUGAACGUCCCCUGACGGUAUCUAACCAGAAAGCCACGGCUAACUACGUGCCAGCAGCCGCGGUAAUACGUAGGUGGCAAGCGUUGUCCGGAUUUAUUGGGCGUAAAGCGAGCGCAGGCGGUUUCUUAAGUCUGAUGUGAAAGCCCCCGGCUCAACCGGGGAGGGUCAUUGGAAACUGGGAGACUUGAGUGCAGAAGAGGAGAGUGGAAUUCCAUGUGUAGCGGUAAAAUGCGUAGAUAUAUGGAGGAACACCAGUGGCGAAGGCGGCUCUCUGGUCUGUAACUGACGCUGAGGCUCGAAAGCGUGGGGAGCAAACAGG
This 429-nucleotide ribosomal RNA is filed under the name Gemmatimonadota bacterium. RNAcentral describes it as "Gemmatimonadetes bacterium partial 16S ribosomal RNA". It matches the Rfam family "Bacterial small subunit ribosomal RNA", at positions 355 to 776 of the family's 1533-position model. Lineage: Bacteria; Pseudomonadati; Gemmatimonadota. The record is from RNAcentral.